RNAcentral lists this ribosomal RNA (794 nucleotides) under uncultured archaeon. RNAcentral describes it as "bacterial SSU rRNA". It matches the Rfam family "Archaeal small subunit ribosomal RNA", at positions 85 to 879 of the family's 1478-position model. The record is from RNAcentral.
ACGGCUCAGUAACACGUAGUCAACCUAACCUAUGGACGGGAAUAACCUCGGGAAACUGAGAAUAAUGCCCGAUAGAACACUAUACCUGGAAUGGUUUGUGUUCCAAAUGAUUUAUCGCCAUAGGAUGGGACUGCGGCCUAUCAGUUUGUUGGUGAGGUAAUGGCCCACCAAGACUAUUACAGGUACGGGCUCUGAGAGGAGUAGCCCGGAGAUGGGUACUGAGACACGGACCCAGGCCCUAUGGGGCGCAGCAGGCGAGAAAACUUUGCAAUGUGCGAAAGCACGACAAGGUUAAUCCGAGUGAUUUGUGCUAAACGAAUCUUUUGUUAGUCCUAGAAACACUAACGAAUAAGGGGUGGGCAAGUUCUGGUGUCAGCCGCCGCGGUAAAACCAGCACCUCAAGUGGUCAGGAUGAUUAUUGGGCCUAAAGCAUCCGUAGCCGGCUCUGUAAGUUUUCGGUUAAAUCUGUACGCUUAACGUACAGGCUGCCGGGAAUACUGCAGAGCUAGGGAGUGGGAGAGGUAGACGGUACUCGGUAGGAAGUGGUAAAAUGCUUUGAUCUAUCGAUGACCACCUGUGGCGAAGGCGGUCUACCAGAACACGUCCGACGGUGAGGGAUGAAAGCUGGGGGAGCAAACCGGAUUAGAUACCCGGGUAGUCCCAGCUGUAAACUAUGCAAACUCAGUGAUGCAUUGGCUUGUGGCCAAUGCAGUGCUGCAGGGAAGCCGUUAAGUUUGCCGCCUGGGAAGUACGUACGCAAGUAUGAAAACUUAAAGGAAUUGGCGGGGGAGCAC